Molecule: long non-coding RNA, 542 nt
Organism: Scatophagus argus
Lineage: Eukaryota; Metazoa; Chordata; Actinopteri; Scatophagidae
Exons: 2
Source: RefSeq, a predicted model, not a curated record
ACAAGCCCAGGGUCUAAACAUGCUACAGAAAGCCAAACAGGAAACGAAGCACAGGUGUGCCAAGCGAGUUGCUAAUGAGGAGGCAGGACAAGGAGAGACGGUGCAGAUACCACCAUGACAUCUUCUUGAUUUUAAUAGCCCCCUGAUUUGGCAUCGUUUUACGCCAUCUAAUCAGCUGUUGGGAAGAGGCAGAAACAGAGACUGAAGGAGAGCGAAUGCACUGCAGAAACCACAGAGACUGUUGGUCCUUAAUCAUUCAACACAGUUUGUCUCUAACAGUACGUACAUCUGCAGCAAUACAGACUUCCUGGCAAAUAGAUAACUAUGUAGCUUCAGUAGGUUUGCCUUGACUGUGAUUUGUACAUGCAUGUUAAACUGAAGCAAAUGUUCCAUCUGCACACCUCUUGCACCUGCCCUGCUUCUGUACUUAUGACCUGAAAGUCAUGCACUUGAUGUAUGCACAUUUCUGCUGCUUUAUUUUCUAAUACAAUAUGUUCGGCACAUAUGACUUUUGUAAAAUAAUAAUUUCUGUAUUGAACAAC